This 63-nucleotide transfer RNA is filed under the name Brachionus calyciflorus. Its description in RNAcentral is "tRNA-Leu". The record is from RNAcentral. Lineage: Eukaryota; Metazoa; Rotifera; Eurotatoria; Ploima; Brachionidae.
AUAAAGUACGUAGUGUUNUGAUCACUAAAGAAGUUUUAAACUAUUUGACUUAAACUUAAAUGC